UCUGAAGACCUGAAAUGAACAGUAGUGAUGUCCUUGUUGUUUUUUAACAUUUAUGAUUAAAGAAACAGGCCUGUGUAAACUCUCCAGUCUUCAUGGUUUUGAGGACAAAGGCUUCUUGCUCAUUUGUUGUAGAGGAGGCUAUAAAACCACAAGAUAAAAAUACUUAACAGCCAACUAGCAUCUGCAACAUAAACAGGUUAAUUUCAGCUGAAGUUUCCUGAUCUAACUGGUCAUGUGGUUUCAUGGCUGCUCACUCUCAGAGAUGCAGUAAGAUCACACACCUGAACAAUGGCAAAGCUGCUCCUUUCAGCCACAGCAUCUCUGCACACUAGCCAACAUUUUCAGGAAGCCUAAGUUUCAACAGUGCAUCUCCAGAGAUUGGCUCCUGCAGCACCACCUGCUCACCCUACCUCCUUCCAAGCAGGCAGCAGCAGUUGGAUUUGGGCCCCAAGGCUCUCUUACUUCGUUCUUGGUAUGGUUCAUGGUCCCAGCAUGUGCUGAAGCUAUGCUCAGGGAGUGCUGUGGACAUGGUAUUGGGGAACCAGUGUUUCCAGAUAUGUCCUCAUACAGUUUGCAGCAGUGUUCCUGAAUUCCUGUUUUGACUGUUGUCUACAGAUA
Long non-coding RNA from Lagopus leucura (white-tailed ptarmigan), 618 nucleotides. RefSeq lists it as uncharacterized. Lineage: Eukaryota; Metazoa; Chordata; Aves; Galliformes; Phasianidae. The transcript is spliced from 4 exons. The record is from RefSeq and is a predicted model, not a curated record.